AUAUUCUCUUCAAUGUUCAGGAAGCCUGCCCUGUGCUUGAGAGUACAAGGCUGGACACAGGCUCGUGGGUCUCCACAUUGGGUCCCUGUCUCUGGUGCCCACAGUGAGCUCCUUCUUUGCUGAGCAGGCAUGGAGACUGUAGGUUUCCAGAUUUCCUGAAAAAUAAAAGUUUACAGCAUUAUCUUUCCACAACCUCACUAAACGAUUGGCCAAGAGAUUUCUGUCCUAAUUGCCCAGAAUUCUGUCAUCUGGCUACUCAAGGCUAUCGGGGAAUGGGGUGGAAGCCAUUAUCUACUGAUGGACCGGGUUUCUCAGAUUCUUCAAGAUCACGGUCAUAAUGUCACCAUGCUUAACCACAAAAGAGGUCCUUUUAUGCCAGAUUUUAAAAAGGAAGAAAAAUCAUAUCAAGUUAUCAGUUGGCUUGCACCUGAAGAUCAUCAAAGAGAAUUUAAAAAGAGUUUUGAUUUCUUUCUGGAAGAAACUUUAGGUGGCAGGACUUGGAGAACUUCAUUGCCAAGUUUGGGGACUCUGGUUUUGUCCUUG
This 543-nucleotide long non-coding RNA is filed under the name Homo sapiens (human). RNAcentral describes it as "non-protein coding lnc-UGT3A2-1:1". Lineage: Eukaryota; Metazoa; Chordata; Mammalia; Primates; Hominidae. The record is from RNAcentral.